GCUGCUAUAGCUCAGGGGUAGAGCACUUCAUUGGUAAUGAAGAGGCCGGGGGUUCAAUUCCUCCUAGUAGCACCACCAC
This 79-nucleotide transfer RNA is filed under the name Ixodes scapularis (black-legged tick). Its description in RNAcentral is "tRNA-Thr". It matches the Rfam family "tRNA". From Rfam's summary of the family: Transfer RNA (tRNA) molecules are approximately 80 nucleotides in length. Lineage: Eukaryota; Metazoa; Arthropoda; Arachnida; Ixodida; Ixodidae. The record is from RNAcentral.